AAUAGUUUUUUCAUACUCGAAGAUUUUUUUGUAAUCCAAACUCAAAGUAUGAGUGUAUAAUAGUCGUGAAUUAGUUAAUGAUUUGAGUAGUUUAUUUUUUAAAUUGAUAUUUAUAUAAUAAAUCAUCGAGGGUACAUAAUACGUACGGAGCUCCGAUCCAUCAUCAAAUUCUUAUGUUUCUAAUUACGAACACUACCCUCUGUUAAAUUGGUUUAAGAUGAACGUUGUUUAUGAAUGAUGUGUAUGAUGCAUUAUUGAGAAUGUUGUUAGAAAAAAAAUAUUUUAAUACUGAAAUAAUUUUUUAUUGCAUGAGUGAAUGAUUAGAUAAAUAAAAAUUAUAUUUAAAUUAAACAAUACAAAAGAAUCCGAAAAAACUGCGACGUAUCGAGAGUGAUCACCUAAUAUAUAUUAUAGUUAAUAGAAAAACUUCCAGAAAAUAUAAUAGAAAUACAGUUGAACCAAACCGAACCGGGUUAGGUCCGUACGAUGAAAUCGGCCAGCAAAAUCAAACAAAAUUAUGGAAAUAUAUAACAAUAAUAAUAUAGAAAAAUGUAAACUAGGAAAAAAUGAAAAUAGCAGAAAUAAUGGAAAGGAAUAGCUAACGGGAAAUUUUGACUCUUUUCAUCACACUAUAUAUAUUGACACACACUCCUUUUUGUUAUUGCUUCAAAAAGAAAAAAAAAGAAUAAUUGUAAGCUAUGGGCUUCACAAGUUUGUACUCUCUCUAUGGAAAAUCCAAGGUUCUGAAAUCAAUUAGUUUUUCCGCUCUCAACAGUAAAACUCUCGCAAUUGACGCUUCAAUGUGGUUAUACAGAGGUGCUUUAAAUAAUGCCCGGAAAUUCUUGGAGGAACCAACUACACCCAACUCUGAACAUAUAAUGUUUGUCAUCAAAAAAGUCAAACAAUUCAUCGACCGUAAUGUGAAUCCUAUUCUUGUUUUCGAUGGACAUCGUUUACCUAUUAAGUCACCGCGGAACCCAAUAAAAACUCUAGAAUACGCAAAGGAUCUUGACGCAUCAGCACAACUUAUGGCUCCCGAUGACCCUAAGAGAAAGGACAAAGAGAAGAAUGCUACUAAGAUCUUUCAAAGUCAUAUACACAUCACGCCUUAUGUGAUACAUGUUUUCAUUGAGGUAACAUUUACGGUAAAUAAUUAUUUUUAAGAAUUUUCACUUCUUUCUAAUUUUUUAUUAACCUUUCUUUUUUCUCCCAUUGAAGGUUUAA
This 1224-nucleotide small RNA is filed under the name Arabidopsis thaliana (thale cress). RNAcentral describes it as "ATSL079060". Lineage: Eukaryota; Viridiplantae; Streptophyta; Magnoliopsida; Brassicales; Brassicaceae. The record is from RNAcentral.